RNAcentral lists this small RNA (95 nucleotides) under Klebsiella quasipneumoniae subsp. similipneumoniae. Its description in RNAcentral is "partial RtT sRNA". It matches the Rfam family "RtT RNA", at positions 1 to 92 of the family's 130-position model. From Rfam's summary of the family: This family represents a bacterial cis-regulatory element known as RtT RNA. RNAcentral also lists the same sequence under 1 other name. Lineage: Bacteria; Pseudomonadati; Pseudomonadota; Gammaproteobacteria; Enterobacterales; Enterobacteriaceae. The record is from RNAcentral.
UGCAUCUGCGGCCAGUGAGGAUGAGAACCUCCGGGGGCAGGAGGUUCGACUCGAGCGAAGCGAGAGAACGUUGCGUCAGCAACGGCCCGCAGGGC